UUCUUUCUCCACGUUGCCAUUUUGGCGAAGUGGUACCUGCCGGGGCGGGGAUGGUUGUCCCAAAAGACGCAGACUCCGUUGCUGCCGCCUUGUCCGAUCUUCUGGCCGAUGGAGAUGCGUUGAAGAAAAUGGGUAAUGCCGCCUUUGAUCUUGUCCGUAGAGAGUAUACUUGGGACCCUCUGGUUGACAAGUUGAUCUCCGUCUACGAACGAUGCAUCCGAGAGAAGAAGCUAUUGUGAAAGUAUUGGUUACAGGAAGCUCUGGUCUGAUUGGACAAUGGGUCUGCAAGACGCUUAGAGAACAGCCGUUUUCCACAGUCGGGCUGGACCGCAUCAAAGACGACGCCGCUUGGGCGCCUGAUGAAUUCCAUCAGUGCGACAUUUUGGAUUCUGAAUCGUGGCAAAAGGUCU
Molecule: ribosomal RNA, 410 nt
Filed under: uncultured eukaryote
Lineage: Eukaryota
Description: partial small subunit ribosomal RNA
Source: RNAcentral